AAAACGCUAUUAAAUUCCUGGAAUUAUUUAUUUUAUUAUUGUAAUAAUUAUAAUAAAAUAUUAACAAUGGAUGGAGUUUUGACCUUGCGGUGGAAUAAAAUCCGCGGGUGAUUUUUUAAAAAUGAAUAUUUGAAAUACUAAGCCGAGUUUAACUUUGAGUAAUUUGGGUUUUUAAAUUUAGUUGAUAAAAUGUAAUAUAAUGUAGUAAUUAAAUUAUAUAAUGAAAUAAAAUACAGCAACUGGAUUAUGAUCUUAACACCACGACGCGCAGAGUGACACUGACAGUGCUUUUGUCAUCGUGCUAUCACCACAUGGUCCGCGGCCCGGCGAAUCCGCGGCUUCGGGUAUUUACGCUCGCGCUCGUUGGACUUCGUAUCCGUUUUACUACUUUAUUUGUGUUUAAACUAUCAUAUACAUAGAUAUAUGAGUGUGAGUUUUAAUUCUACACAUAUAUAACCGCAGACGUACCAAUCAACAUGUUUUUUACUCCGAUCUUGCGAGAAAACAAUUAUUAACAAAUCCCACUUUACUAAUAAAUUAAAUUACCGCAGUUUAAAAAUAAAAUAAGACCGCGAAAAAAAAUUUUUAUUAAUUCGUGGUAAAAAAAAUUUGUAAUUAUCAUCAAAAAUUGCUGACGCAACAACCGAUAAUUUUAAUAAAAAAUAUGUAAUUAUAAUAAAUUAACACGCAACAUCGCGCAAUUAGUAUACGCGGAAAAACCGCGAGUUUACGUCAUUGGCGUCAAGUCGAAGUCUUUCCGGUACAUCGAAUCUCUUGUAUUGAGUACAGUACCGGUAUCAUGUGGGCUAAAUAAUUUUCAUAUAUAUCUAUAUAUAUUUAUAUGUGAUGGUCAUAUUGGUACGGUAUUGGCGCGAAUGGCAAAAGAGGAGGUGAUGUGUAAUACCAAGAAUCGAGUGUGCACGAUUGAGUCGCGGUAAUUCCCAGUAAAAAUGAAUGUAAUAUAACAGAAGCCACCUUUCAUUUUUAUAUUAUACCUUCAGCUGACUUAUUAUUACUUUAGCAUUAGCAUUAACAUCAGCGUUAGCAUUUGAAGCUGAGAAAUAUACCAAUAUUAUUUAUCCGCAGCUAAUGUAUAUAAAAUAAUUGUUUAUAAUGUAAUGCAAAGCUUGGCCUUCUCAAUAUCUUUUUACAUCACGUACAAUAAAUUUACUAUUGCAUACUUUUUUUCAAGGACAUGAGAAAAUUAGAGAUGAUCUUUCUCAGUCUUCUGGGCACAACGGCCGAGAAUUCCAGAGUUCUGACGCAACUUCGAAGGCAUUUCCGACGCGUAUGCUGCACUCUUCGACAACCUCCUCUUUUGAGAGAAGGCCACCACAUAUAAUCGCAUUUAUACAUAUAUAUAUAUGGGUAUAUGUAUAAUCGAUUUCGCGAAACUCCGGAACUGUUGCGGUAUCAGUGGAAUUAAAAAAUCCGGAUUUUCGGUGUCCUUAUUCCACAUAUAUAUAAAUAUAUGUACUUUUAAAAGGAAAUCCUGGGAACAGAGAAAGGAGGCAACGUCUCUGACGUCAUACAGUCUUCAUAUUAGCACAUAACGGCACAAGAGAAAGAAAGAGAAGCAGAGACAGAAAGUUUGAGAGUGAGAGGGAGGGAAAAUUCAUCGGAAAUUUUUUCUCUAUCUGUUAAUGUUAACGCGCGUUGACGUCACUGGGAUUUCAAAACUUUUACAGAUAAAGGAAAAAAAAAAAAAUUAUAGUCUCAUUAAUUAAUUAGUUAAAUUUUGAAUUAACGAUUAUCGAAUUAUGAAAUAAUAUUUUUGAUUUAUUGACACUUGAUACAGUCAUCAAAGAAAUCUCGGCCGCGAAAUGACUAAUCACAACUUCCGUGGCCGUAAGGCUCGUAGUAUAUCAAAUGUUAAUAAUGGUACAAUGAGUCUGGUAUGUAAAGAAGGCCGAGAGGCAAAGAGCGCAAGUGUAUAGUAAAUACAUAAAUACAUAUGUAUAUAUAUUAAUAAUAUAAAUGUAAGGAGUAUUUAGUGUUGGUUGGUUGGUUUGUUAGUUGAGGUGUAACGUGUAGUAGAUUUUCAUUCAUAAAUUGAGCCGAGUUGAAGCUGCCACCAAGUACAAGUAAAGUAAGAUGACUCAUCAGAGCGUGCUGCGGUACGUGUACGCGAAUCUGAGGUAAUCGCAACUAAAAUAAAACAAGUACACUUGAGCACAGACAUUUAUUAAAUGUCUUCGAUAAUUUAUCUCGCUCACUCUGCACACAUUUUAUUUAUUGGGUUCAUUUAUUACUGAAUACUCUCCGUAUUUAAACUCGGAAAAUUUAAUUUAACAGCCGAGUCUCGCCCCUGAUUCCCCUGUUAUUUAUUGUUUGCUCACUGACGUGGCUCAGCGAGACACGCGAACAAGUGUGUCAUGAUAAAUAUUGACAAUUUAAUUAAUUGAUAUACAUUUACGACCGGAAGUCAAAUCAUUGGAGUAGAAUAAUUUUUUGUGGGAUUGAGACAGAGAAAUUUGAUGGGAGAGACGAUUGAAAUGAGGGUGAGGGAUUAAAGACCUAAUUAAUAUAUCGAGAGCAUUUCUUGAGACAGUGGAGAUAAAGCAGGAUGGCACCUUUUGGCUUAUGACCCGCUAAAGUAACUCACGACUAAAACUUAACCCUGGUUUGUUAAACUAAACCCUCUAAUUGACGGGUUAACGAGCGUUAACUCCUCGCUUCCUGUCAGAUUUUAACGUUUUCCUUCAGUUUCUCGAUUCAACUGGCUCUGUAUGUAUUAAUAUUGAGUCUCCCAUUAAAAGACACUCCUUAAAGAUAAAGUUUCUUAUACAAAUAGCAAAUAUUUUUCUUUCAUAUAUAAAUAGCUUUCAAGUGUAUCGAAUGUGGAAUUAAUGCGGUAUCUUGUAGGUGUCAAAGAAAUUUCUUAUUGACAACAAAAAAAAAAAAAAAAAAUACUUGGCAAUUGAAAUUCAGACAAUUAAAAUUAUUUUUAACGAUUGAAGAUAAAAAAAAACGAUUUUUAUAUUUGCAAGUUGAAGAAAUAAAUUUACUAAAAAUAUCACGAGUUUUAAAAUUCGCAAAUCUUGACCUCGGACACCUUGAACUUAAAUAUAUGAAUGAACAAUUAUGUUUAACAUUUAAAUAGCACUUAUGCUGGUUCAAUGCAAAUAACAAUGACGGUCAAAGACAUUUUACAAGAUACAUAAACGAAAGUUUGACUUUUCUAGAUCAACCUAAUUUGAAUAAAUUCACGAGCAUUCUAUUACGCUGCAAUAAUUAUUAAAUUAUUCUAAACAAAGUGAAUUAUUUACAAUUUAUAAUUAUGCUCCAAAGCUGCUUUUACAAGUAAACACAGUUGACUUUUGCAUUUAAACUUUAAACUUUUUUAAAUUUAAAUUAAAAAUUUUUUAGUUUAUUUAUGUUAUUGCUUACCAUAACAUUUUCAUCUUUAGUCAAUUGCCAUGAGUCAAUAUGAUCAGACAUUGGAUAAAGUGUCGCCGGAGUAUAAUAACCAUGAUCGUCAACCAUAACGUCAAAUAAACCCGUAUUGGGAACACGUUGUGACAUCAAUUGUCCAUUUAUCAGAUAAUUACUUGAAUCCCAAUUAUCCGUGUCCAUUCGUAACGAAUGAAAAAAAUCGCACUAACGAUUUAACACUUGACAGAAAAUAAAUCAGCAACAAAAUUCAAAAAAUUUUUGCUAUUUAAUUUUACUGAACUUGAAACUUGUCUCGUAAUCCAAGUUAGCGGGAAUUAAAUGACACUUAUCAAGUUGUCACUGGUGAAAAAAAAAAUUGUAACAGCAACAGUAGCUAAUAAAAUUUAUUGACAGUAUUUACAACGAGUAGUAACCCGAUGAAGAUUGUCGCUGUUGACUGAGCGCGCCAACGUGACUCUGAAACUAUAUAGAUAGCGAACGGACGACAUGAGCGACCUCCCACUACUAAAAAAGCCGCACCAAGUGCCCCAAUCAACGGGUCGGUUUCGAGGAAACGCGACACGCGCGCGCAACAACUUCAACUAGACCGGUAACUUGGACACGUUGCGUAACAGUGACGUGAUAAAUGAGAGGCAAUUAUGAAAAAUUCAACGAAUUCACGUGAGCCUUUCUCAGAAUCGGGAAGAUGACUCAUAGACUUACUGGCGGGUUUAAGUGGGCGUUUUUGUAUAUUAUAUAUAUAUGUAUAUGUAUAAAUAUAUAUACUUUAGCUUUAGAAAGAGUGGUAGGUAGACUAGGAUGACCGGACCGGGUAUCCGGAACAUAUUGAACGACAGCAUGACUCAUUUAUUUAGUAUGCUAAAUAUUUUCGCGGGUGGCUCGUUAAUAUGACAUUCAAUAUUUUGAAUUUUUAAAUCCCAAGUUCAGGGAACUGGAAGAUUUUAAUUGACCACAAAUAUUUUAUUUAUUUACUCCUGUCAUCUCUACACUUCAGCUGACGGAUGCAGAGAGCGAUUGGUUUAAAGCGAAGUAAAUUUCAAAUUUGAACACAUUAAGGUCAAGGUAUCCUUGGACUAGCUUUUACGCUAGCUCAAGGUUCGAUGCUACACUGAAAAGAUUUAUCUUCAAACUGAUGUAAAGUAUUUUAUAUAUAUGAAAAAAGAAGAAAAAAAUUAUAGAUAAAUAAUGUGGCAUCCGAGGAGGAAUUUCAUUGCCGCUGAUGGAGGUAAUGGAAUAAAAUACCCGUUUAGUCUGAAGGAAAUUGACAAUCUGGGCCUUGAAAGACUGAAGACCUCAUGUUGGUGUAAUGGAAAAACUAAUGUUUACUUUUUUAUUCAAAGACUACUUACUGUCACAAAGAAAAUAAGUACAUUGUGUCGCACUUCCUCGUAUCUUAUCAUAAUUUUAUACAAAACACGAGCUACAUAUUUUUCUUUUAGCGAGAUUGUUGUUAAAACAAUUUGUCCAUACAGUUUUAUUUAAAUUUACGAUUUAAUUUAAAUGUCGUGCUAUUUUAAAUCGUGGAACUGUGAAAAUUAAGAUUAAGGAAGCCUUGAAAAUUAUUAUCAGCUAAAUACUUUAGAUAAGACAUCUAUUGUAAAUCUUUAAACAGUUAUAGUUCUAUUUAAUUUUUCAUAUCGAGUACUAAGAUUUUAAAAUAAAUGUAACUUUUGCUGAGAUAUAAACUCUAAGUGUUUCUCACGCGUGCAAAAUAAUUGCGUCACUGGUAUGCACGGUGACUUUGCGGAAUCGAGAUAAUAAACAAUAACAAUAAACAACAGAAAUAUCUUCGAUGAAUACCAAUAAAGUUGAUACCAUAUACGACUAGUUUUAAAAAUAAAUAAAUCUUUUCCUGCAAUAAGUAAAAUACGUAAAUGCCUAAAGAAAUUUAGAAAGAAAGUAUUGCAUACAUGGAUUCUAAAUAAAGUAACAACAAAAGUACUUUGUUAUCCAGCUGAGGAGCCAGCACAUAUAUUUUUUUUAUUGUAAAUUGUAUAUGGAACAAAACCGAGCGUGUGGAAUUGUUAAAGUCGAGCAAAAUGAGUCAACUGUAUAUAAGUUGAGUGGAAAAAAAAAAUUAUGUACGCACGUGCGACACGGCUGACCACACACGAUCUACACUAGCUGGUCUUUUGAGCCGCUGGUUCAAGACAAAGGGCUCCAGUAGCAGCAAAAUAAUCCGUUAUAUCGCAUAUGCUGUCAAGACGACUUAGCUCGUGUUUAAAUUAAAUCCGUAUCGAAUUUUCUUACGAAACACAUUCUUUUGUGAGGAAAAAGAACCAAGUAAUCCGCGAGACCACCGUAUUUGUACUACUAGCGGUUUUAAAAACCUAAACAUUGAAAUUAGCAUAUGAAAAAUAACUUCCAGCUCGGCAAUGACUUAAAAGUUUGAAUAAAGGAAAAUUGUCGUACGUUUAAGAUUGAAUGGAUGUAGUAAAAAACAGGCCUUGGAAACAAAAGCGCGAGCUACCAGGUGCGCGAACGUCUUAUCGAAUCGCGUGAGCUUCUUUAUCAAUUUUAUUUCCGUCGCUGAUGUAAAGUAAUCAGACAUUUUUACUGCCGCGAUUACCAGAGAGAGCCAACUUGGAAGAUGACGAAAUGCAAUUGACAUCCUUUGUUCUUUAUUCCAUUGUGCGCUGAAAAAAAAAAUAUAUAUAUAUGCUUAUUUAUAAAUAUAAUUAUGGUAUUAGUAUAUUAGCGAUUAUUAUUUUUUUAUUUAUUUUUAAUACUUACAAAGACAUCAUUGAGUUCUGUCGCGUAAAUUUUUAAUAUUUUUUUUUUCUCAAGUAUUUACGUUUUCAAAUCAAAUAUUAACCGGUCAUUGUAUGUUAAGCACGUUGUUGUAUUAUUUACUGUACAUAAAGACGGUCUAUUGACAAAGGACAGAAAAAAAGACAUUUGAUAUAUUGUAAAAGUUAAAUUUUAACUUAUCAAGAUUGUCCUUUAAGGCACGCGACGAAUUUACCUUAUGAAUAAAAAUUAGUCAGCUUAAAAAUUAAUGCAAAUUAAAAAAAAA
Long non-coding RNA from Microplitis mediator, 6412 nucleotides. RefSeq lists it as uncharacterized. Lineage: Eukaryota; Metazoa; Arthropoda; Insecta; Hymenoptera; Braconidae. The transcript is spliced from 6 exons. The record is from RefSeq and is a predicted model, not a curated record.